This 446-nucleotide ribosomal RNA is filed under the name uncultured bacterium. RNAcentral's name for it is "bacterial SSU rRNA". It matches the Rfam family "Bacterial small subunit ribosomal RNA", at positions 329 to 792 of the family's 1533-position model. The record is from RNAcentral.
CCCCAGACUCCUACGGGAGGCAGCAGUGGGGAAUAUUGCACAAUGGGGGAAACCCUGAUGCAGCGACGCCGCGUGAGUGAAGAAGUAAUUCGUUAUGUAAAGCUCUAUCAGCAGGAAAGAAAAUGACGGUACCUGAGUAAGAAGCCCCGGCUAACUACGUGCCAGCAGCCGCGGUAAUACGUAGGGGGCAAGCGUUAUCCGGAUUUACUGGGUGUAAAGGGAGCGUAGACGGCGAUGCAAGCCAGAUGUGAAAGCCCGGGGCUCAACCCCGGGACUGCAUUUGGAACUGUGUGGCUGGAGUGUCGGAGAGGCAGGCGGAAUUCCUAGUGUAGCGGUGAAAUACGUAGAUAUCAGGAGGAACACCGGUGGCGAAGGCGGCUUACUGGACCAUAACUGACGUUGAGGCUCGAAAGCGUGGGGAGCGAACAGGAUUAGAUACCCUAGUA